AGUGAACGCUGGCGGUAGGCUUAACACAUGCAAGUCGAACGGUAGCACAGUAAGAGCUUGCUGUUACGGGUGGCGAGUAGCGGAUGGGUGAGGAAUACAUCGGCAUCUAUUUUUUCGUGGGGGAUACCGUAGGGAAACUGAUGCUAAUACCGAAUACGAGCUAUGGGUGAAAGCAGGGGUUCUUCGGUUCUUGCGCGAUUGAAUUGGCCGAUGUCGUAUUAGCUAGGUGGCGGGGUAGAGGCCCUCCAAGGUGACGGUCCGUGGCUGGUCUGAGAGGAUGAACCGCCACACUGGAACUGGGACACGGUCCAGAGUCCAACGGGAGGCAGCAGGGGGCAGUAUUGGACAAUGGGCGAAAGGCGAAAGCAGCCAGACCGGAUGGGUGGAGAAGGCCGUCGGGUUGUAAAUCCCUUUUGUUGGGAAAGAAAAGUAGCAGCUUAAUACUGGGUUGUGGUGACGGUAGCGAGUGAAGAAGCACCGGCUAACUUCGUG
RNAcentral lists this ribosomal RNA (492 nucleotides) under uncultured bacterium. Its description in RNAcentral is "partial 16S ribosomal RNA". It matches the Rfam family "Bacterial small subunit ribosomal RNA", at positions 30 to 507 of the family's 1533-position model. The record is from RNAcentral.